This 497-nucleotide ribosomal RNA is filed under the name Gastrotheca rebeccae (Rebecca's marsupial frog). Its description in RNAcentral is "partial 16S ribosomal RNA". It matches the Rfam family "Bacterial large subunit ribosomal RNA", at positions 1845 to 2542 of the family's 2925-position model. Lineage: Eukaryota; Metazoa; Chordata; Amphibia; Anura; Hemiphractidae. The record is from RNAcentral.
AUGAGAGGUCCAGCCUGCCCAGUGACAAUGUUCAACGGCCGCGGUAUCCUAACCGUGCGAAGGUAGCGUAAUCACUUGUCCUUUAAAUGGGGACUAGUAUGAAUGGCAUCACGAGGGUUAUACUGUCUCCUUCUUCCAAUCAGUGAAACUAAUCUUCCCGUGAAGAAGCGGGAAUACACCUAUAAGACGAGAAGACCCUAUGGAGCUUUAAACGAAACAACACUUGCUAUAACAUACAUUAAUCUCAGGAAAUCAACCUUUAUCUUAGCACUAUAACUGUUAGUUUUAGGUUGGGGUGACCGCGGAGUAAAAAAUAACCUCCACAGUGAAUGGGGACCUCCCCUAAGCAAAAAGCCACAACUUUAUGCAUCAACAAAUUGACAUCAAUUGACCCAAUAUUUUGAUCAACGAAACAAGUUACCCUAGGGAUAACAGCGCAAUCCACUUCGAGAGCCCAUAUCGACAAGUGGGUUUACGACCUCGAUGUUGGAUCAGGG